GCUUGACUGUAUCCCUGGAAUUGGGUUUCGGGCUUUUUCUUGCGCAGCCCUAGGUGGGAGGCAUUGAAGAUUUCUUUUCCGGGGAAGUUGGAGCCAUCAUUGAGAGACCCACUCUGGAGAAGGCUAGAAUCCUAAUGGUGAUCCUUGAAUCAGGACACUUGACAGUUUCAGGUGGGCAGUUUUUUUCUGGGGCGGAAACCUCAUAAAAGGUAACUGAGGCGCGCAAAGGUUCCCCUCAGUCUGGACGGAAAUCAGACCAACGAGUGUAAAAGGCAAAAGGGAGCUUGACUGCAAGACCCACAAGUCGAGCAGGAGCGAAAAGCUGGCCUUAGUGAUCCGACGGUGCCGUGUGGAAGGGCCGUCGCUCAACGAAUAAAAGUUA
RNAcentral lists this ribosomal RNA (382 nucleotides) under uncultured alga. Its description in RNAcentral is "bacterial LSU rRNA". It matches the Rfam family "Bacterial large subunit ribosomal RNA", at positions 2098 to 2465 of the family's 2925-position model. The record is from RNAcentral.